UGGGGAAUUUUGGACAAUGGGGGAAACCCUGAUCCAGCCAUCCCGCGUGUGCGAUGAAGGCCUUCGGGUUGUAAAGCACUUUUGGCAGGAAAGAAACGUCGCGGGUUAAUACCCCGCGAAACUGACGGUACCUGCAGAAUAAGCACCGGCUAACUACGUGCCAGCAGCCGCGGUAAUACGUAGGGUGCAAGCGUUAAUCGGAAUUACUGGGCGUAAAGCGUGCGCAGGCGGUUCGGAAAGAAAGAUGUGAAAUCCCAGAGCUUAACUUUGGAACUGCAUUUUUAACUACCGGGCUAGAGUGUGUCAGAGGGAGGUGGAAUUCCGCGUGUAGCAGUGAAAUGCGUAGAUAUGCGGAGGAACACCGAUGGCGAAGGCAGCCUCCUGGGAUAACACUGACGCUCAUGCACGAAAGCGUGGGGAGCAAACAGGAUUAGAUACCCUGGUAGUCCACGCCCUAAACGAUGUCAACUAGCUGUUGGGGCCUUCGGGCCUUGGUAGCGCAGCUAACGCGUGAAGUUGACCGCCUGGGGGAGUACGGUCGCAAGAUUAAAACUCAAAUGAAUUGACGGGG
This 571-nucleotide ribosomal RNA is filed under the name uncultured bacterium. RNAcentral describes it as "partial 16S ribosomal RNA". It matches the Rfam family "Bacterial small subunit ribosomal RNA", at positions 355 to 918 of the family's 1533-position model. The record is from RNAcentral.